RNAcentral lists this ribosomal RNA (485 nucleotides) under uncultured bacterium. RNAcentral's name for it is "bacterial SSU rRNA". It matches the Rfam family "Bacterial small subunit ribosomal RNA", at positions 28 to 507 of the family's 1533-position model. The record is from RNAcentral.
GAUGAACGCUGGCGGCGUGCCUAACACAUGCAAGUCGAGCGAGAAUCUCAUUAUUGAUCCCUUCGGGGGUGAUUUAAUGAGAGGAAAGCGGCGGACGGGUGAGUAACGCGUGAGUAACCUACCUUCAGGAGGGGGGACAACAUUCCGAAAGGGAUGCUAAUACCGCAUGAUAUUGUUUUAUCGCAUGGUUUAACAAUCAAAGAUUUAUUGCUGAGAGAUGGCCUCGCGUCUGAUUAGCUAGUUGGUGGGGUAACGGCCCACCAAGGCGACGAUCAGUAGCCGGACUGAGAGGUUGACCGGCCACAUUGGGACUGAGAUACGGCCCAGACUCCUACGGGAGGCAGCAGUGGGGAAUAUUGGGCAAUGGGCGAAAGCCUGACCCAGCAACGCCGCGUGAAGGAAGAAGGCCUUCGGGUUGUAAACUUCUUUUACCAGGGACGAACACAAUGACGGUACCUGGAGAAAAAGCAACGGCUAACUACGUG